UGGCUAAGAGGUUAGGUUGGUGGAGGUGUUUUUAUUUGUGUUACCUUUUGCAUCAUGAUUUGUUGAGGUUAAGCUUUUAUAAGUGUGCCCGAAAGGUAUUGAUUUGUGUUGUUCUAGGCGUAUACCAGGUGACGUGUAGUUCUUGGCAAAGAAUGACGUGGUUGUGAUAAAUAAUUCGGAAUACCUGAUAUCUGGUUGAGAUGUGUCUUGUUGGUUUGAAGGGAGUUGGUUAGGAUAUCAUCUUUCUUUUAAGAGCUUUUUGUGAGAUUCUUAUCGAAAGGGGUUAGAAUUACCCCUGUCUUGAGUGUGUACUAUAACUCUCUUAUGAGUUAUCUAGCUUUACUGGAUUUCAUCUCUAAUAAACUUGGUACCUGUAAUUAUGGCAGAAUAAGUAGGGUUGGAGUAGUCCUGUUCUUUCUCGAUGUUCUUCGGUCUGUUUAUUAAAAACAUUUCCAUUUGGAAUUUUUGAAUGGUAGUACCUGCCCAGUGCACUAUGUAAAUGGCCGCAGUAUCCUGACUGUGCUAAGGUAGCAUAAUUAGUUGCCUCAUAAUUGGGGGAUUGUUUGAAAGGUUUGACUUGAGGAUUAAAUUAGAUUAGGGCUAAAUUUGAAAUUAGAUUCGGGGUGCAGAUCCCCUGGAAUAGUAAUAAGACGGAAAGACCCCGAGAUCUUUAUGUUGUGAUGUUUGUUUGGGGCAAAAUUAUAUGUUUUAUGUAGUUUUAGAUCCUGUAUAGAUAAAAGGUGUAAGUUACCUCGGGGAUAACUAGGUAAAAAAUAAGGAGAGGCCUAAUCGAUUUAUUUAAUUGCCAUCUCGAUGUUGACUUAGGAAUAGCAGGGAGGUGUAGGAGUUUUUUUGCUAGGUCUGUUCGACCGUAGUUUCCUUCAUGAGUUGAGUUAAGACCGGCGUGAGCCAGGUCGGUUCUUAUCUAUUUGUGGUGUAGAUUAGUACGAAAGGAUUGUUUACACUUUAUGUU
Molecule: ribosomal RNA, 973 nt
Rfam family: Bacterial large subunit ribosomal RNA (bases 617-973)